This 400-nucleotide long non-coding RNA is filed under the name Portunus trituberculatus (swimming crab). RNAcentral's name for it is "uncharacterized LOC123500539". The record is from RNAcentral. Lineage: Eukaryota; Metazoa; Arthropoda; Malacostraca; Decapoda; Portunidae.
UUACAAAAUAUUAUCCUGAUAAACAUUUUCGUAUUGUGUCUACAAAUAGUCUAUGUAUAGGUAGUUUUUUUCCUUUUUAAGGACACUCUGCCAACUGCCUUACGCUCGUCGGCUGUUUAUUGUUUCACUUGUCCCAGCUGCCAGGCUGAGUAUAAGGGUAGCACCUUGCGCUCACUUAUAAACCGAGCCAGCGAGCAUUUAGGCCAGUCUGCCAGAACAGGGCGCCCGCUACACAACGCCCCAUUUUCCGCGAUACGGGACCACUGCCUCUCAUACCACUGAUGAUGACAUAAGAUGAAAUGUCGAAACGUUUGGCCCAUUAAAGAUGCUGCUCGUAGCUACCUUAGUUAUUGCUUUCCUGCUGAAAAUACGAUUUCCCAGAAAUCAACCUGUUUCGGAU